GGGAGGGAAACCGAAGCAAAAGCCCACUUCCACAUACAUCCAGUGCCAACACGCACUACUAGAAUUAAUCACGCGAAAGGAAGAAGUUCCAUGGAUGAUCAUCCGAGGAAGGGGUAGUCGGUGUAGCCGACGACGGGGUCGGAGGUGUAGAAGGUCAUCCUAUCAUACUUGUUCAGCUCCGCGCCGACCUUGAACCUCUUGGGCAGGUCCGGGUUGGCGAGGAACAGCCGCCCGAAGGCCACCAGGUCGGUGUACCCCUCGGCCACCACCUUGCCCCCUUCCUCGCGGUCGUACCCGCCGUUGGCGAUGAAGGUCCCCUUGAACGCCUCCCGGUACGGCAGCAGCCGCUUCGGCACCACCCGCCGGCCGUCCACGAGGGCCAUCCUCGGCUCGAUCAUGUGCAGGUAGAGGACGCCGUGGUCGUUGAGCUUGGUGGACAUGUGCAGCGCGAGGGCAUGAGGGUCGGAGUCGUGGCAGUCCAUGAAGUCGGUGAAUGGGGAGAGGCGGAUGCCCACGCGGUCCCCACCAACCUCCUUCACGACGGCGUCCACU
Non-coding RNA from Lolium perenne, 552 nucleotides. The record is from RefSeq and is a predicted model, not a curated record. Lineage: Eukaryota; Viridiplantae; Streptophyta; Magnoliopsida; Poales; Poaceae.